GAUGAAGAACGUAGCGAAAUGCGAUACGUAAUGUGAAUUGCAGAAUUCCGUGAAUCAUCGAGUCUUUGAACGCACAUUGCGCCCCCUGGUAUUCCGGGGGGCAUGCCUGUCCGAGCGUCAUUGCUGCCCAUCAAGCACGGCUUGUGUGUUGGGUCGUCGUCCCCUCUCCGGGGGGGACGGGCCCCAAAGGCAGCGGCGGCACCGCGUCCGAUCCUCGAGCGUAUGGGGCUUUGUCACCCGCUCUGUAGGCCCGGCCGGCGCUUGCCGAACGCAAAUCAAUCUUUUCCAGGUUGACCUCGGAUCAGGUAGGGAUACCCGCUGAACUUAAGCAUAUCAAUAAGCGGAGGA
Molecule: unclassified non-coding RNA, 348 nt
Filed under: soil metagenome
Description: partial contains 5.8S ribosomal RNA, internal transcribed spacer 2, and large subunit ribosomal RNA
Rfam family: 5.8S ribosomal RNA (bases 1-120)
Source: RNAcentral